AAAGAAACUAACAAGGAUUCCCUUAGUAACUGCGAGUGAAGAGGGAAAAGCUCAAAUUUAAAAUCUGGCAGUGUUUCACUGUCCGAGUUGUAACCUAGAGAAGUGUAACCUGCGCUGGACCGUGUAUAAGUCUCCUGGAAUGGAGCAUCACUGAGGGUGAGAAUCCCGUCUUUGACACGGACCACCAGUGCAUUGUGGUUGUGCUCUCAACGAGUCGAGUUGUUUGGGAAUGCAGCUCUAAAUGGGUGGUAAAUUCCAUCUAAAGCUAAAUAUUGGCGAGAGACCGAUAGCGAACAAGUACCGUGAGGGAAAGAUGAAAAGAACUUUGGAAAGAGAGUUAAACAGUAUGUGAAAUUGUUGAAAGGGAAACGUUUGAAGUCAGUCGCGUUGGUUGGGGAUCAGCCUGACAUUGUUGGGUGUACUUCCUGGUUGACGGGCCAACAUCAGUUUUGAUUGCCAGAAAAAGGCCAAAGGAAUGUGGCACCUUUGGGUGUGUUAUAGCCCUUGGUCGUAUAUGGUGGUUGGGACUGAGGAAAGCAGCGUGCCGAAAGGCCGGGUUUCGACCACGUUCACGCUGAGGAUGUUGGCAUAAUGGCUUUAAGCGACCCGUCUUGAAACACGGACCAAGGAGUCUAACAUGCAUGCGAGUGUUUGGGUGGAAAACCCUUACGCGUAAUGAAAGUGAAAGUUGAGAUCCCUGUCGUGGGGAGCAUCGACGCCCGGACCAGAACUUUUGGGACGGAUCUGCGGUAGAGCACGUAUGUUGGGACCCGAAAGAUGGUGAACUAUGCCUGAAUAGGGUGAAGCCAGAGGAAACUCUGGUGGAGGCUCGUAGCGAUUCUGACGUGCAAAUCGAUCGUCAAAUUUGGGUAUAGGGGCGAAAGACUAAUCGAACCAUCUAGUAGCUGG
RNAcentral lists this ribosomal RNA (909 nucleotides) under Amanita flavorubens. RNAcentral's name for it is "partial 28S ribosomal RNA". It matches the Rfam family "Eukaryotic large subunit ribosomal RNA", at positions 58 to 954 of the family's 3401-position model. The record is from RNAcentral. Lineage: Eukaryota; Fungi; Basidiomycota; Agaricomycetes; Agaricales; Amanitaceae.